CUUCCCAAGAGCACUUAUUGACCCAUCCUCAGGCCUCCCGAACCGGCUUCCCCCUGGUGCUGUGCCCCCAGGAGCUCGCUUUGACCCCUUUGGACCCAUUGGGACCAGCCCAUCUGGACCUAAUCCAGACCAUCUCCCCCCACCGGGCUACGAUGACAUGUACCUGUGAAGGCCUCAAGAAUGUAACAUCUCAGCCUCCCUUGCACUCUCCUGGAGCUGCCAUCACUGGCCCCAUCAGUGUUCCUGUUCUUGUGGGCUCAGGGCAGAGGAUUCUGCCCAUGUGUUUGCAGGCUUGCUGGGGUUAUAUCCCCAGCCCUUGUCAGAACCGAGGCGCCUGCUGCAGCACCCCACCCAGCUGCAUAUAGGUCCCAAGGAGAAAUCAGUGUGUGUCUAUCAUCACCAGCUCCUCCCCACUUCCAAGGGAGACUCCGGCAACAUAAACCCUCCACCCGAUGCAGUCCCGGUCACAGCGC
Molecule: non-coding RNA, 473 nt
Organism: Cricetulus griseus (Chinese hamster)
Lineage: Eukaryota; Metazoa; Chordata; Mammalia; Rodentia; Cricetidae
Source: RefSeq, a predicted model, not a curated record